UUAUCCGGAUUUAUUGGGCGUAAAGGGCUCGUAGGCGGCUCGUCGCGUCCGGUGUGAAAGUCCAUCGCUUAACGGUGGAUCUGCGCCGGGUACGGGCGGGCUGGAGUGCGGUAGGGGAGACUGGAAUUCCCGGUGUAACGGUGGAAUGUGUAGAUAUCGGGAAGAACACCGAUGGCGAAGGCAGGUCUCUGGGCCGUCACUGACGCUGAGGAGCGAAAGCGUGGGGAGCGAACAGGAUUAGAUACCCUGGUAGUCCACGCCGUAAACGGUGGACGCUGGAUGUGGGGCACGUUCCACGUGUUCCGUGUCGGAGCUAACGCGUUAAGCGUCCCGCCUGGGGAGUACGGCCGCAAGGCUAAAACUCAAAGAAAUUGACGGGGGCCCGCACAAGCGGCGGAGCAUGCGGAUUAAUUCGAUGCAACGCGAAGAACCUUACCUGGGCUUGACAUGUUCCCGACGACGCCAGAGAUGGCGUUUCCCUUCGGGGCGGGUU
This 493-nucleotide ribosomal RNA is filed under the name uncultured bacterium. RNAcentral's name for it is "bacterial SSU rRNA". It matches the Rfam family "Bacterial small subunit ribosomal RNA", at positions 541 to 1032 of the family's 1533-position model. The record is from RNAcentral.